Molecule: transfer RNA, 71 nt
Filed under: Prevotellaceae bacterium
Lineage: Bacteria; Pseudomonadati; Bacteroidota; Bacteroidia; Bacteroidales; Prevotellaceae
Description: tRNA-Cys
Rfam family: tRNA
About the family: Transfer RNA (tRNA) molecules are approximately 80 nucleotides in length. Their secondary structure includes four short double-helical elements and three loops (D, anti-codon, and T loops).
Source: RNAcentral
GGUUCCUUGACCGAGUGGUUAGGUGCCGGUCUGCAAAACCGUUUACUCCGGUUCGAAUCCGGAAGGAACCU